GACGAACGCUGGCGGCGUGCCUAAUACAUGCAAGUUGAGCGCUGAAGGUUGGUACUUGUACCGACUGGAUGAGCAGCGAACGGGUGAGUAACGCGUGGGGAAUCUGCCUUUGAGCGGGGGACAACAUUUGGAAACGAAUGCCAAUACCGCAUAAAAACUUUAAACACAAGUUUUAAGUUUGAAAGAUGCAAUUGCAUCACUCAAAGAUGAUCCCGCGUUGUAUUAGCUAGUUGGUGAGGUAAAGGCUCACCAAGGCGAUGAUACAUAGCCGACCUGAGAGGGUGAUCGGCCACAUUGGGACUGAGACACGGCCCAAACUCCUACGGGAGGCAGCAGUAGGGAAUCUUCGGCAAUGGACGAAAGUCUGACCGAGCAACGCCGCGUGAGUGAAGAAGGUUUUCGGAUCGUAAAACUCUGUUGGUAGAGAAGAACGUUGGUGAGAGUGGAAAGCUCAUCAAGUGACGGUAACUACCCAGAAAGGGACGGCUAACUACGUG
Molecule: ribosomal RNA, 497 nt
Filed under: uncultured bacterium
Lineage: Bacteria
Description: partial 16S ribosomal RNA
Rfam family: Bacterial small subunit ribosomal RNA
Source: RNAcentral